ACGAGGAAGUAAAGGCGUCUCGCGUCGUUUCGCUUUCCGAUAUUCCUGACAAAUUAUCAUAAAUGUGACAUUACAAUGCGAAAAAAAUAGAAGUCAAAGGAAUUUGUAACUGGCUGCUACAUCGGAAGGCUCGAUAUAUCUUUAGAAAAUGACGAUAUCUAACAUUUACGGGGUGAAAUCUAUCCAAGUCAGAGAAAAUCGGAUAGCCGCCAUGUUGUCAACAUUGACAUCGAUAAAAAGGAAAAGCGUGUGUGUGACGCAUACUGUAAAUGCAAACAAGGAAAUUGUGGAACAUGUUCACACACUCUGGCUGUAAAAGUAGACCUGGGAGGAAAAGUGCCCCCGGUGUGGGGCUCGAACUCACAACCACCAGAACACUAGCCCGGCGCUCUAACCAACUAAGCUGACCGGGCAGCUGGUUCUAACCCACACACACUACCCUCCCCCCAUUUACCGGUUAAGGCUGGUGGAGGGUCUCCUGCUAUUUACCGUUGACACCAUUAAAGUAUUCUGAUUGAUGGAGUUAAGGAAGUCCCCUUAUUAUUGUCUUCAACAAGCCUACCGCCACAGGGGACCUAGCAUAAGACCGGAAACCGCCCCCCCCCCCACACACACAUGAUAUUUGCCAGUCCAGGCAAUGUCAACCGCAAGAGAAAACCAGUGAUGACAGGUUUUACAAAUAAUAGGAAAGUAUGGUCUUUUGAAGAGAGUUCUUGAAGUUGUUCAGCAUGUUGUUUUGAUGGAUUCUUGGAAGGAUGUACCUCUAUGAUGUUAGCUUCAGUUCUGGAGUAUAACACCAGUUGUUGCAUAUUUAAUAUCAGAUUUAUUAAAUACAUUGUUGUUUUGCAAACAUUACUUAAACUUUGAUAUUUCUUUGGUGUUUAUGUAUGAUAUUGUAGGUGAAUAUCUCUUUAUUGCAAUGGCAAAUAUAUUUUAAAAUAUAUAGCAUUAGCAGAAGUUAUUUUUCACUGUUAAAGCUGCACUUUCACAGAUUGAUCACUUUGACAACUUACACAGGAUUCGAUUGCAUUUAUCAUAUUUUGGCUCGGAGAAGUUUGCUUUGUGAUUUAUAUAUUAGGUCUUAAUUUAAAGAAUGCCAAAAUAAGCCGAUUCUGAGACAAAAAGUGUCAAACUAGAAUUCUGUGAGAGUGCAACUUUAAGAAUACUGUUAAUCGAGUGUGCAUGUGAUCCGGACUCUGAACAUUGGAUGAACUAUCAUUAAAUAUUGUAGAUUUACGUAAAUGGCCCAAAAUAUAAGAAUAACAAUGAAAAUAUGUA
Long non-coding RNA from Mya arenaria, 1278 nucleotides. RefSeq lists it as uncharacterized. The transcript is spliced from 3 exons. Lineage: Eukaryota; Metazoa; Mollusca; Bivalvia; Myida; Myidae. The record is from RefSeq and is a predicted model, not a curated record.